AUACCGCAUACGUCCUACGGGAGAAAGCAGGGGACCUUCGGGCCUUGCGCUAUCAGAUGAGCCUAGGUCGGAUUAGCUAGUUGGUGAGGUAAUGGCUCACCAAGGCUACGAUCCGUAACUGGUCUGAGAGGAUGAUCAGUCACACUGGAAGGGAGACACGGUCCAGACUCCUACGGGAGGCAGCAGUGGGGAAUAUUGGACAAUGGGCGAAAGCCUGAUCCAGAAGUGCCGCGUGUGUGAAGAAGGUCUUCGGAU
This 255-nucleotide ribosomal RNA is filed under the name uncultured bacterium. Its description in RNAcentral is "partial 16S ribosomal RNA". It matches the Rfam family "Bacterial small subunit ribosomal RNA", at positions 166 to 423 of the family's 1533-position model. The record is from RNAcentral.